This is an RNA transcript of Hydractinia symbiolongicarpus, 1611 nucleotides long. RefSeq lists it as uncharacterized. The record is from RefSeq and is a predicted model, not a curated record. NCBI's taxonomy places the organism in Eukaryota, Metazoa, Cnidaria, Hydrozoa, Anthoathecata, Hydractiniidae. The transcript is spliced from 2 exons.
UUCGAUUAUGCGAUGAAUUCAUUCGAUUAUGCGCUGUUUGCAUGUGAUAAAUUAUUCGAUGCGCUGAAUUCAUGCGCUAAAUUAUUCGAUGCGCUGUUUGCAUGCGCUAAAUUAUUCGAUGCGCUGUUUGCAUGCGCUAAAUUAUUCGAUGCGCUGUUUGCAUGCGCUAAAUUAUUCGAUGCGCUGAAUUCAUGCGCUAAAUUAUUCGAUGCGCUGUUUGCAUGCGCUAAAUUAUUCGAUGCGCUGAAUUCAUGCGCUAAAUUAUUCGAUGCGCUGUUUGCAUGCGAUAAAUUAUUCGAUGCGCUGAAUUCAUGCGCUAAAUUAUUCGAUGCGCUGUUUGCAUGCGAUAAAUUAUUCGAUAGUUUUGGCGCCUCAAUCAAAACUCAAGGAUUACAAAAUUAAUAUGGCUGACGAAAGAACACGAGCUAUAUUAAAGAAACUUGGAUUGAAACACCUUAUUUUGAAGUUUAGUGAAGAAAAUAUAACCGCUGAUUUGAUACCAAAGCUUUCUCUAAAGCAUUUCGAAAGCUUAGGUGUAACAGAUAAUGGAGUUAUAAUGAACUUGAGGGUAAAAUUUUGCAGCUUUGGUGGAAUUAAACCACAAAAGUUAAAGUGGGAAAAUGGAGGAGCUCCAAAAUUCCUAAUACCUGAAGAAGUCCUACAAAACCUACUCAAUGACGGCUGUCUUAUUUCGGAGAUCAGCAAUAUCUUAUGCGUUUCAGAAAGAACAAUUUAUAGAAGAAUGGAAGAGUAUGGGCUUAAAAAGCAUAACUUUACAGAAAUGUCUAAUGAAGAGUGUGAUUCAAUUCUGAGCACUGUGACUCAAGAGUUUCCUAAUUGUGGCGAAGUUAUGUUACGAGAACUGUUAAAACAUUUCUUGUUGUUGUGAGCUUCUUAAAAACUAAAAAAAAAUCUAAAAAGAUAAAUAUUCUAUGAAAAUGAGUGUUUAUUCUUAUUUUUUUAGGCUUGAGUUUGCUUCAGAAUGGCCCAUUUCCACAGUUUUUGGAAGAAGAUGACCUGCAAAAAAUAUUUUUUAACGAAGAACCUGGCAAAUUCAAUGAACUCCGAAGAGCUUUCAAGGAUCUUGGAAUUUUCCAAAUUGUGGAAGCCUUUCCUAUCAUGCUACACCUUUUCCGACCCAAUCCUAAUGCUACUUUCACUUUUAAAAAACUGGUCAACUUGCUUCAGCCAAAAUGGGCAGCUGAAGGGUCAAACGAACAUUACAGGCAGAAAAAGCUUUAUCCGUCAUUAAUGAAAUAUUUGAGGCAAGCACAUGGUAAGUGUCAAAUUUAAAUUUCCACGCGCUCGCUCCGCUUUUCUAUAAACUAAAUAGCCAAACAUUUUUUAUUUUGUAUGAGCAGAGUUUCACAAAGGAAGCUGGCUUCUGCUACCUUAAGGGAAGAAAUUAUGUGCGGAAGAAAUAUCUAUAUAUAAACUUUCUAUUUUUGUUACUGUUUAGGUGGAAAACGUUCGGGUGUUUCGCUUCCCGAUGUACUAAGGUUUGUCACUGGAAGUGAAGAAGAGCCUUUGUUAGGAUUUGCACUGGCCCCUUCGAUAAAAUUUGUUCCGGUGAUGGAAGAAGGUCGAUUUUGACGCGCCAAAACUAUCGAA